UACGAAGGGGGCUAGCGUUGCUCGGAAUCACUGGGCGUAAAGGGUGCGUAGGCGGGUCUUUAAGUCAGGGGUGAAAUCCUGGAGCUCAACUCCAGAACUGCCUUUGAUACUGAAGAUCUUGAGUUCGGGAGAGGUGAGUGGAACUGCGAGUGUAGAGGUGAAAUUCGUAGAUAUUCGGAGGAACACCAGUGGCGAAGGCGGCUCACUGGCUCGGUACUGACGCUGAGGAGCGAAAGCGUGGGGAGCGAACAGG
RNAcentral lists this ribosomal RNA (253 nucleotides) under uncultured bacterium. Its description in RNAcentral is "partial 16S ribosomal RNA". It matches the Rfam family "Bacterial small subunit ribosomal RNA", at positions 524 to 776 of the family's 1533-position model. The record is from RNAcentral.